UACGUAGGGUGCAAGCGUUAAUCGGAAUUACUGGGCGUAAAGCGUGCGCAGGCGGUUUUGUAAGUUUGUCGUGAAAUCCCCGGGCUCAACCUGGGAAUGGCGAUGAAGACUGCAAGGCUAGAAUCUGGCAGAGGGGGGUAGAAUUCCACGUGUAGCAGUGAAAUGCGUAGAUAUCUGGAGGAAUACCGGUGGCGAAGGCGGCAUCCUGGACCGGCAUUGACGCUGAGGAGCGAAAGCCAGGGGAGCAAACGGG
RNAcentral lists this ribosomal RNA (253 nucleotides) under uncultured bacterium. Its description in RNAcentral is "partial 16S ribosomal RNA". It matches the Rfam family "Bacterial small subunit ribosomal RNA", at positions 524 to 776 of the family's 1533-position model. The record is from RNAcentral.